This 350-nucleotide ribosomal RNA is filed under the name uncultured Cortinarius. RNAcentral describes it as "eukaryotic LSU rRNA". The stretch from base 1 to 122 matches the Rfam family "5.8S ribosomal RNA", at positions 33 to 154 of the family's 154-position model. Lineage: Eukaryota; Fungi; Basidiomycota; Agaricomycetes; Agaricales; Cortinariaceae. The record is from RNAcentral.
UCGAUGAAGAACGCAGCGAAAUGCGAUAAGUAAUGUGAAUUGCAGAAUUCAGUGAAUCAUCGAAUCUUUGAACGCACCUUGCGCUCCUUGGUAUUCCGAGGAGCAUGCCUGUUUGAGUGUCAUUAAUAUAUAUAUCAACCUUCUCUUGUUGAGUGGUUUGGAUGUGGGGUUUGCUGGCCUCUUAAAAGGUUCAGCUCCUCUGAAAUGUAUUAGCAGAACAAACCUGUUCAUUGGUGUGAUAACUAUCUACGCUAUUGAAUGUGAGGGGCAGUUCAGCUUUCUAACAGUCCUUUUGGACAAAUCAUCAUUAAUGUGACCUCAAAUCAGGUAGGACUACCCGCUGAACUUAA